GGCUGGUCUGAAGGUAGUGAGUUAUGUCUUGUUCACAGUCAGUUACAGAUCAGACUCCUUGUUCUACUCUAACCCCCCUUCUCACCAAUGCACUCGACAGGUCUUGA
Molecule: unclassified non-coding RNA, 107 nt
Organism: Colobus angolensis palliatus
Lineage: Eukaryota; Metazoa; Chordata; Mammalia; Primates; Cercopithecidae
Rfam family: Y RNA
About the family: Y RNAs are components of the Ro ribonucleoprotein particle (Ro RNP), in association with Ro60 and La proteins. The Y RNAs and Ro60 and La proteins are well conserved, but the function of the Ro RNP is not known.
Source: Ensembl